UACAGGGGGUGCAAACGUUGCUCGGAAUUAUUGGGCGUAAAGCGCGCGUAGGCGGCUACUUAAGUCGGAUGUGAAAGCCCUUGGCUCAACUGAGGAAGUGCACCCGAAACUGAGUGGCUUGAGUACUAAAGAGGGUCGCGGAAUUCCCGGUGUAGAGGUGAAAUUCGUAGAUAUCGGGAGGAACACCGGUGGCGAAGGCGGCGACCUGGGUAGAUACUGACGCUGAGGCGCGAAAGCAUGGGUAGCGAACAGG
RNAcentral lists this ribosomal RNA (253 nucleotides) under uncultured bacterium. Its description in RNAcentral is "partial 16S ribosomal RNA". It matches the Rfam family "Bacterial small subunit ribosomal RNA", at positions 524 to 776 of the family's 1533-position model. The record is from RNAcentral.